GCCUAGCUAGCUCAAUCGGUAGAGCGUGUGACUCUUAGAAUUUGUUAAGAAGAAUCAAAGUUAUCACAAGGUUGGGGGUUCGACCCCCCCGUUGGGCU
Nadsonia fulvescens var. elongata DSM 6958 is the source of this 98-nucleotide transfer RNA. It matches the Rfam family "tRNA". Rfam says of the family: Transfer RNA (tRNA) molecules are approximately 80 nucleotides in length. Their secondary structure includes four short double-helical elements and three loops (D, anti-codon, and T loops). The record is from Rfam. NCBI's taxonomy places the organism in Eukaryota, Fungi, Ascomycota, Dipodascomycetes, Dipodascales.